Molecule: transfer RNA, 74 nt
Filed under: Hypodytes rubripinnis (redfin waspfish)
Lineage: Eukaryota; Metazoa; Chordata; Actinopteri; Perciformes; Tetrarogidae
Description: tRNA-Leu
Rfam family: tRNA
About the family: Transfer RNA (tRNA) molecules are approximately 80 nucleotides in length. Their secondary structure includes four short double-helical elements and three loops (D, anti-codon, and T loops). Further hydrogen bonds mediate the characteristic L-shaped molecular structure. tRNAs have two regions of fundamental functional importance: the anti-codon, which is responsible for specific mRNA codon recognition, and the 3' end, to which the tRNAs corresponding amino acid is attached (by aminoacyl-tRNA synthetases). tRNAs cope with the degeneracy of the genetic code in two manners: having more than one tRNA (with a specific anti-codon) for a particular amino acid; and 'wobble' base-pairing, i.e. permitting non-standard base-pairing at the 3rd anti-codon position.
Source: RNAcentral
GUUGGGGUGGCAGAGCUCGGUAAUUGCAAAAGACCUAAGUCCUUUGAACAGAGGUUCAAAUCCUCUCCUCAACU